AAAUUGAAGAGUUUGAUCAUGGCUCAGAUUGAACGCUGGCGGCAGGCCUAACACAUGCAAGUCGAACGGUAACAGGAAACAGCUUGCUGUUUCGCUGACGAGUGGCGGACGGGUGAGUAAUGUCUGGGAAACUGCCUGAUGGAGGGGGAUAACUACUGGAAACGGUAGCUAAUACCGCAUAACGUCGCAAGACCAAAGAGGGGGACCCUCGGGCCUCUUGCCAUCGGAUGUGCCCAGAUGGGAUUAGCUUGUUGGUGGGGUAACGGCUCACCAAGGCGACGAUCCCUAGCUGGUCUGAGAGGAUGACCAGCCACACUG
RNAcentral lists this ribosomal RNA (318 nucleotides) under Escherichia coli. Its description in RNAcentral is "bacterial SSU rRNA". It matches the Rfam family "Bacterial small subunit ribosomal RNA", at positions 1 to 315 of the family's 1533-position model. The record is from RNAcentral. Lineage: Bacteria; Pseudomonadati; Pseudomonadota; Gammaproteobacteria; Enterobacterales; Enterobacteriaceae.